RNAcentral lists this ribosomal RNA (492 nucleotides) under uncultured bacterium. Its description in RNAcentral is "partial 16S ribosomal RNA". It matches the Rfam family "Bacterial small subunit ribosomal RNA", at positions 29 to 507 of the family's 1533-position model. The record is from RNAcentral.
AGUGAACGCUGGCGGUAGGCCUAACACAUGCAAGUCGAACGGCAGCACAGUAAGAGCUUGCUCUUACGGGUGGCGAGUGGCGGACGGGUGAGGAAUACAUCGGAAUCUACUUUUUCGUGGGGGAUAGCGUAGGGAAACUUACGCUAAUACCGCAUACGACCUACGGGUGAAAGCAGGGGAUCUUCGGACCUUGCGCGAUUGAAUGAGCCGAUGUCGGAUUAGCUAGUUGGCGGGGUAAAGGCCCACCAAGGCGACGAUCCGUAGCUGGUCUGGGAGGAUGAUCAGCCACACUGGAACUGAGACACGGUCCAGACUCCUACGGGAGGCAGCAGUGGGGAAUAUUGGACAAUGGGCGCAAGCCUGAUCCAGCCAUACCGCGUGGGUGAAGAAGGCCUUCGGGUUGUAAAGCCCUUUUGUUGGGAAAGAAAAGCAGCAGGUUAAUACCCCGCUGUUCUGACGGUACCCAAAGAAUAAGCACCGGCUAACUUCGUG